UACGUAGGGUGCAAGCGUUGUCCGGAAUUAUUGGGCGUAAAGAGCUCGUAGGCGGUCUGUCGCGUCUGCUGUGAAAACUCAGGGCUUAACCCUGAGCUUGCAGUGGGUACGGGCAGACUAGAGUGCGGUAGGGGAGACUGGAAUUCCUGGUGUAGCGGUGAAAUGCGCAGAUAUCAGGAGGAACACCGAUGGCGAAGGCAGGUCUCUGGGCAUUAACUGACGCUGGAGGAGCGAAAGCCAUGGGGAGCGAACAGG
RNAcentral lists this ribosomal RNA (255 nucleotides) under uncultured bacterium. Its description in RNAcentral is "partial 16S ribosomal RNA". It matches the Rfam family "Bacterial small subunit ribosomal RNA", at positions 524 to 776 of the family's 1533-position model. The record is from RNAcentral.